Molecule: ribosomal RNA, 938 nt
Filed under: uncultured bacterium
Lineage: Bacteria
Description: bacterial SSU rRNA
Rfam family: Bacterial small subunit ribosomal RNA
Source: RNAcentral
AGCUACACAUGCAAGUCGAGCGGUAGAGAGAAGCUUGCUUCUCUUGAGAGCGGCGGACGGGUGAGUAAUGCCUAGGAAUCUGCCUGGUAGUGGGGGAUAACGUUCGGAAACGGACGCUAAUACCGCAUACGUCCUACGGGAGAAAGCAGGGGACCUUCGGGCCUUGCGCUAUCAGAUGAGCCUAGGUCGGAUUAGCUAGUUGGUGAGGUAAUGGCUCACCAAGGCGACGAUCCGUAACUGGUCUGAGAGGAUGAUCAGUCACACUGGAACUGAGACACGGUCCAGACUCCUACGGGAGGCAGCAGUGGGGAAUAUUGGACAAUGGGCGAAAGCCUGAUCCAGCCAUGCCGCGUGUGUGAAGAAGGUCUUCGGAUUGUAAAGCACUUUAAGUUGGGAGGAAGGGUUGUAGAUUAAUACUCUGCAAUUUUGACGUUACCGACAGAAUAAGCACCGGCUAACUCUGUGCCAGCAGCCGCGGUAAUACAGAGGGUGCAAGCGUUAAUCGGAAUUACUGGGCGUAAAGCGCGCGUAGGUGGUUUGUUAAGUUGGAUGUGAAAUCCCCGGGCUCAACCUGGGAACUGCAUUCAAAACUGACUGACUAGAGUAUGGUAGAGGGUGGUGGAAUUUCCUGUGUAGCGGUGAAAUGCGUAGAUAUGGGAAGGAACACCAGUGGCGAAGGCGACCACCUGGACUAAUACUGACACUGAGGUGUGAAAGCGUGGGGAGCAAACAGGAUUAGAUACCCUGGUAGUCCACGCCGUAAACGAUGUCAACUAGCCGUUGGAAGCCUUGAGCUUUUAGUGGCGCAGCUAACGCAUUAAGUUGACCGCCUGGGGAGUACGGCCGCAAGGUUAAAACUCAAAUGAAUUGACGGGGGCCCGCACAAGCGGUGGAGCAUGUGGUUUAAUUCGAAGCACGCGAGACCUUACCAGGCCUUG